Acanthosepion pharaonis is the source of this 114-nucleotide non-coding RNA. The record is from the annotation of a GenBank genome assembly. Lineage: Eukaryota; Metazoa; Mollusca; Cephalopoda; Sepiida; Sepiidae.
UUAUGGCCACAUCACGUUGAAACACCGGUUCCCGUGCGAUCAUCAAAGGUAAGUAACAUCAAAUCUGGUUAGUAGUUCGAUGAGUGAACGCUUCGGAAUACCAAGUACUGUAAG